AUACGUAGGUGGCAAGCGUUGUCCGGAAUUAUUGGGCGUAAAGCGCGCGCAGGCGGUCCUUUAAGUCUGAUGUGAAAGCCCCCGGCUCAACCGGGGAGGGUCAUUGGAAACUGGGGAACUUGAGUGCAGAAGAGGAUAGUGGAAUUCCAAGUGUAGCGGUGAAAUGCGUAGAGAUUUGGAGGAACACCAGUGGCGAAGGCGACUGUCUGGUCUGUAACUGACACUGAGGCGCGAAAGCGUGGGGAGCAAACAGGAUUAGAUACCCUGGUAGUCCACGCCGUAAACGAUGAGUGCUAAGUGUUGGGGGGUUUCCGCCCCUCAGUGCUGCAGCUAACGCAUUAAGCACUCCGCCUGGGGAGUACGGUCGCAAGACUGAAACUCAAAGGAAUUGACGGGG
RNAcentral lists this ribosomal RNA (397 nucleotides) under uncultured bacterium. RNAcentral's name for it is "partial 16S ribosomal RNA". It matches the Rfam family "Bacterial small subunit ribosomal RNA", at positions 523 to 918 of the family's 1533-position model. The record is from RNAcentral.